CAUUGAUCAUUCACAAAACUUAGAAAUUCACCAUGGCUGCGAUGAACCAUGUCUCAGACCUGAGGCCUUGGUAAGUGAUGCUUACAAUAUCAAAGUGCGUAGAGUCAUUCAUUGAUUUUGGUUAUUCCGGCUCAAUCUCCUACGGGAAGUGAUGGCACGUUUGGAGGGACAUUUCCAACACAGUCGGAUGCACCCGAGGGGUCCCUGAUCUUGCAUGGUGGUAUGAUCUGAGACCAACCAAGCGAACAAGGACUCCAAUCAUUAAUUUGGAGGAGUCUUUUGAUCAGAACUCUGUUACAAGAUCAGUGUGUACUAUAAAGAUCAAGAAGGAGAAGUUUGAAAAAGUGGCUAGUGAGACUAGGCGUUAGUGGAAGUGUGAGCAGAGGCUUAUGUUUGCAUAAUGCUAUGAGUUUUUUCGUUUUGAUUUUCAGUUCUGGACUUCAGUUCGUUCUGUGGUUUCU
Long non-coding RNA from Brassica oleracea var. oleracea, 461 nucleotides. RefSeq lists it as uncharacterized. The record is from RefSeq and is a predicted model, not a curated record. The transcript has 3 exons. Lineage: Eukaryota; Viridiplantae; Streptophyta; Magnoliopsida; Brassicales; Brassicaceae.